GAUUGUAGGCUNCGGAACUCGCCUAUAUGAAGUUGGAAUUGCUAGUAAUCNCGGAUCAGCAUGCCGCGGUGAAUACGUUCCCGGGCCUUGUACACACCGCCCGUCACACCAUGAGAGCCGGUAAUACCCGAAGUCAGUAUCCUAACCGCAAGGGGGGAGCUGCCGAAGGUAGGAUUGGCGAUUGGGGUGAAGUCGUAACAAGGUAUC
Molecule: ribosomal RNA, 207 nt
Filed under: uncultured bacterium
Lineage: Bacteria
Description: partial 16S ribosomal RNA
Rfam family: Bacterial small subunit ribosomal RNA
Source: RNAcentral